RNAcentral lists this ribosomal RNA (318 nucleotides) under uncultured eukaryote. RNAcentral's name for it is "partial 18S ribosomal RNA". It matches the Rfam family "Eukaryotic small subunit ribosomal RNA", at positions 1470 to 1796 of the family's 1831-position model. The record is from RNAcentral.
CCCUUAGAUGUUCUGGGCUGCACGCGCGCUACACUGAUGCACUCAACGAGUAUACAGCCUUAUCCGGAAGGAUUGGGUAAUCUUUUGAACGUGCAUCGUGAUGGGGAUAGAUUAUUGCAAUUAUUAAUCUUCAACGAGGAAUUCCUAGUAAGCGCAAGUCAUCAGCUUGCGCUGAUUACGUCCCUGCCCUUUGUACACACCGCCCGUCGCUCCUACCGAUUUCGAGUGGUCCGGUGAACCUUUGGGACCGCGUAUGGCUUGUCCAGGCGUGGAAACUCAAGUAAACCACAUCACUUAGAGGAAGGAGAAGUCGUAACA